CAGUGUUAUAGUUUUUUAAAAUUUGUUUAGCAGGCUUUCCAGUUUUUGCUGGAAAGCCCUC
This 61-nucleotide small nuclear RNA is filed under the name Piliocolobus tephrosceles (Ugandan red Colobus). RNAcentral describes it as "U7 small nuclear RNA (ENSPTEG00000011869.1)". It matches the Rfam family "U7 small nuclear RNA". From Rfam's summary of the family: Animal histone pre-mRNAs are spliced by a different mechanism than nuclear pre-mRNAs and self-splicing introns. This processing involves the U7 snRNP, which contains only one RNA species: U7. The record is from Rfam by way of RNAcentral. Lineage: Eukaryota; Metazoa; Chordata; Mammalia; Primates; Cercopithecidae.